CCAGCAGCCCACAGCGCCUGGGUCGGUCCUGGGCACCCGCCUCUCACGGCCAGGCUGGCUCAGGCCUCCUCCUCCUCCGUGCAGCCGACUGAGCAGAGAGUGACGACCUCUGAGCAGGAUGACCUGGAACUUCCGAUCCUCCUGCCUCCGCGUCCCCAGCGAAGACAGAAGUGGCUGCCACGCCUGGUCUGUGUGGUGAUGGCACUGGGUCCCAGGCCUGUGCACAGGCGAGCGCAUCCUCAAGCUACAGCCGCAGCCCCUUUAGACUUGGACUCCGCCCGCCCGCCCCCGCCCCUUGGGGCUCCUUGAGGGUCGGGUGGUUCCAGGAGGUGGAGGGGAGCGGGGAGCGCCGUGCGCGGUGGAAGGGUCUCCGGGCAAGGUCUCCCAGAGCGGGCCCUCCUGGCGCAAGACGCGGGGCCUCUCCGCGAAGACCUGGAAGCCGAGGGCCGUGGUGAGCACAGGCACGUGCAGC
This is a non-coding RNA of Peromyscus maniculatus bairdii (prairie deer mouse), 472 nucleotides long. Lineage: Eukaryota; Metazoa; Chordata; Mammalia; Rodentia; Cricetidae. The record is from RefSeq and is a predicted model, not a curated record.